Molecule: ribosomal RNA, 519 nt
Filed under: uncultured bacterium
Lineage: Bacteria
Description: partial 16S ribosomal RNA
Rfam family: Bacterial small subunit ribosomal RNA
Source: RNAcentral
GACGAACGCUGGCGGCGUGCCUAAUACAUGCAAGUCGAGCGAGUCUGCCUUGAAGAUCGGAGUGCUUGCACUCUGUGAAACAAGAUACAGGCUAGCGGCGGACGGGUGAGUAACACGUGGGUAACCUGCCCAAGAGAUCGGGAUAACACCUGGAAACAGAUGCUAAUACCGGAUAACAACAGAUGAUGCCUAUCAACUGUUUAAAAGAUGGUUCUGCUAUCACUCUUGGAUGGACCUGCGGUGCAUUAGCUAGUUGGUAGGGUAACGGCCUACCAAGGCGAUGAUGCAUAGCCGAGUUGAGAGGCUGAUCGGCCACAUUGGGACUGAGACACGGCCCAAACUCCUACGGGAGGCAGCAGUAGGGAAUCUUCCACAAUGGACGCAAGUCUGAUGGAGCAACGCCGCGUGAGUGAAGAAGGGUUUCGGCUCGUAAAGCUCUGUUGUUGGUGAAGAAGGACAGGGGUAGUAACUGACCUUUGUUUGACGGUAAUCAAUUAGAAAGUCACGGCUAACUACGUG